Molecule: small nucleolar RNA, 132 nt
Filed under: Bombyx mori (domestic silkworm)
Lineage: Eukaryota; Metazoa; Arthropoda; Insecta; Lepidoptera; Bombycidae
Description: Bm_97
Source: RNAcentral
AAUCCACGCAAUCAGGGAUUGCAAGCACUCUCAGUGGCUUUUGAUCUAAUUUGCAGUGGAAGAGUAUUCUGGCUUGUUUAUUGAAGGGUCUUUUAUAUAUUGGCUCUGUUACGGUGCAAACCAAACAAUUUU